This 434-nucleotide ribosomal RNA is filed under the name uncultured bacterium. Its description in RNAcentral is "partial 16S ribosomal RNA". It matches the Rfam family "Bacterial small subunit ribosomal RNA", at positions 29 to 507 of the family's 1533-position model. The record is from RNAcentral.
AGCGAACGCUGGCGGCAGGCCUAACACAUGCAAGUCGAACGAACCUUUCGGGGUUAGUGGCGGACGGGUGAGUAACACGUGGGAACGUGCCUUUAGGUUCGGAAUAACUCAGGGAAACUUGUGCUAAUACCGAAUGUGUCCUUCGGGGGAAAGAUUUAUCGCCUUUAGAGCGGCCCGCGUCUGAUUAGCUAGUUGGUUGAGGUAAUGGCUCACCAAGGCGACGAUCAGUAGCUGGUCUGAGAGGAUGAUCAGCCACAUUGGGACUGAGACACGGCCCAAACUCCUACGGGAGGCAGCAGUGGGGAAUCUUGCGCAAUGGGCGAAAGCCUGACGCAGCCAUGCCGCGUGAAUGAUGAAGGUCUUAGGAUUGUAAAAUUCUUUCACCGGGGACGAUAAUGACGGUACCCGGAGAAGAAGCCCCGGCUAACUUCGUG